RNAcentral lists this ribosomal RNA (301 nucleotides) under uncultured bacterium. RNAcentral's name for it is "partial 16S ribosomal RNA". It matches the Rfam family "Bacterial small subunit ribosomal RNA", at positions 509 to 807 of the family's 1533-position model. The record is from RNAcentral.
CAGCCGCCGCGGGAAUACGUAGGGGGCAAGCGUUAUCCGGAAUUACUGGGUGUAAAGGGAGCGUAGACGGUUAAACAAGUCUGAAGUGAAAUGCCGGGGCUCAACCCCGGAGCUGCUUUGGGAACUGUAGAACUGGAGUGUCGGAGGGGUAAGCGGAAUUCCCAGUGUAGCGGUGAAAUGCGUAGAUAUUGGGAGGAACACCGGCGGCGAAGGCGGCUUACUGGACGACAACUGACGUUGAGGCUCGAAGGCGUGGGUAGCAAACAGGAUUAGAUACCCCAGUAGUCCCUGUCUCUUAUAC